GUAACAUUCGCUCCAUAGCAUCUUAAUCCAGUUUAAUACAACAAAUCAAAAAAAAAAAAAAAGAUUCAAUUAAGCGACUCACAAAACCGAAUCAACCACACUAGUUUGCUGGUAUAGUCACCGUUACACUAGACACAGCAUCUUAAUUUUAUUCCAGGAGCAGAAGUUAAGCAAAGAUUUUAUUUUAUGUUAUGAACAUGCUUAAGUAAUGACAAUCGAU
This is a non-coding RNA of Pelobates cultripes (western spadefoot toad), 220 nucleotides long. Lineage: Eukaryota; Metazoa; Chordata; Amphibia; Anura; Pelobatidae. The record is from the annotation of a GenBank genome assembly.